ACCGAGCGAUGUUGCCAAGCCUGAGGACAAUCCCGGCCCCGUACGACCAGCGGAUGCACUCAGCCAGCUUACGAAUAUGAGCUUUGGGGCCCUCCCCUGAAUAUCAAGACCUUCAACAGAAAACUCACAUCUUUGUUUUCAAGAAUUUCCUGUUUAGCUUCAGGCUCAACUUCAACAAAUUCAGCUUCUUCUCCUAAUCCUCCAAAAUCAGGUCCACUUGAUGGAAGAGGCUCCAAACUCUGAAAGGG
Molecule: long non-coding RNA, 248 nt
Filed under: Homo sapiens (human)
Lineage: Eukaryota; Metazoa; Chordata; Mammalia; Primates; Hominidae
Description: HSALNT0278555
Source: RNAcentral